AACGGUGCUGAGACUCUGGGUCACCUCCCACCCGUGUUUAUUUUACCUUGUUGCUUCGGCGGGCCCGCCUUAACUGGCCGCCGGGGGGCUUACGCCCCCGGGCCCGCGCCCGCCGAAGACACCCUCGAACUCUGUCUGAAGAUUGUAGUCUGAGUGAAAAUAUAAAUUAUUUAAAACUUUCAACAACGGAUCUCUUGGUUCCGGCAUCGAUGAAGAACGCAGCGAAAUGCGAUACGUAAUGUGAAUUGCAAAUUCAGUGAAUCAUCGAGUCUUUGAACGCACAUUGCGCCCCCUGGUAUUCCGGGGGGCAUGCCUGUCCGAGCGUCAUUGCUGCCCUCAAGCACGGCUUGUGUGUUGGGCCCCGUCCUCCGAUCCCGGGGGACGGGCCCGAAAGGCAGCGGCGGCACCGCGUCCGGUCCUCGAGCGUAUGGGGCUUUGUCACCCGCUCUGUAGGCCCGGCCGGCGCUUGCCGAUCAACCCAAAUUUUUAUCCAGGUUGACCUCGGAUCAGGUAGGGAUACCCGCUGAACUUAAGCAUAUCAAUAAGCGGAGGAA
Molecule: ribosomal RNA, 554 nt
Filed under: Penicillium chrysogenum
Lineage: Eukaryota; Fungi; Ascomycota; Eurotiomycetes; Eurotiales; Aspergillaceae
Description: eukaryotic LSU rRNA
Rfam family: 5.8S ribosomal RNA (bases 175-327)
Source: RNAcentral